This 2371-nucleotide ribosomal RNA is filed under the name Triticum aestivum (bread wheat). Its description in RNAcentral is "partial small subunit ribosomal RNA". The record is from RNAcentral. Lineage: Eukaryota; Viridiplantae; Streptophyta; Magnoliopsida; Poales; Poaceae.
GAAAAAAGUUGUCAACUAUAGGGCCACAAAUAGGGAUGGCAUCAUCUUAGACAGACCCUGAGUUUAGUACAGCAGCCUCGCCAGAAGAGAAAAGAAACCCUAGUUGACCCGAUCCCCUCCGCGCCUUUGGGCAGGCCGCCGCCAGCUCUCCUCAUCGCCCUUGCGGCCGCCGGCGACAACCACUCCCCGCCGCGUCCUUGCCUCCUCCGUCCAGGGGUAUGUCCUUUUUGUGUUUUGGGCAGGCACGGGAUUCCUCGUGUAAUCGUGGGCCGAUUUCGGUUGGGGGUUCAGAUCCCAAGCGGACUCGACUCGAAAAGGAGCUCUUUUUAUUCAAAUCCUCGACCUGAGGGAGAUGCUCUAAUCAGGAUUGGAACCGAAAAUCCGUCCGUAAAUCCAUAGAAUAAAAAAAGGCAGCCUCAGAGGAGCAACCAGGCCUUGCGCAAUCGAAAGAGAAGAAAAGGAGCCGUUUAUUUUUAUAUUUAUUAAUAGCAAAGUUUGUGUCACGAGAUAUAGUCAGUAAUCAUUAGGAUGUGAUUCUCCUAUUCUUGUGCUGCCCUUGUUAGCGGACUAGCCGCAGGAGGUUUCGACUUCUUUGAUCCAUCUAAUGAGGCUAUCCCUGGCCAAUGAGGGACUUUGCGGGAGAUGGAAAACAAUAAUAAAGCCAAAGCUCGCUGCCACGAAGCAGCUUCGGAUGAAGCUGAAGUUGAUAGGCUUAGCAAGCUGCCAGAUCACGUUCUACUCAACAUCCUGGAGAGGGUUCGCACGAUAGAUGCCUUGAGAACCUGCAUCCUCUCUAAGAGAAUGCUCAAGCUUCCCCCCAUGCUCUCGCUGCUUGAUAUAGACAUUGGUUCCCUUGCGCGUUACAUCAAGCCCAAGGUCGACACCACUAAUCGUAUUUUUCAGUACAACACUGCUGUGGCUGCUAUCAUUGAGAAGGUCCUGAGUGUGAGGAAUCCUGAGAUCCCCAUCCGCAAACUGAGGGUCAGGUUCUGUUUGAGGCCUGAUGAAUGUCUCUCCAUCAGCCAAGUCGUCGCCCAUGCCAUGGCAACCCAAAAGCUCGAUGUUGCUGAGUUUGUGGUCCUCACGGAGACGAUUUGUUUGAAAUGCACUGAAGACCAUCUCCUCUGUUAUGCCCCAAGCGCUUCAAUAGUUGGCUUGGUGAUUGUCCUGCCAUGUUUGCUGGUCUCACGCGCCUGUGGCUGCGCAAUAUGAGGUUUGGUGAACUGGACAUCCCCAACAUCCUCAGCGCCUGUAAGAGGUUGGAAUCACUGCGUCUCUCCUAUUGUGACGCAGGGGUCCAAUCUGUGCUUCAAGUAGAACAUGCUCAACUUGUUGAGCUCCACAUCGACUAUGGGGAAUUUGAAGCAGUCCAACUCAGCUGUCUACCAAAACUCCAACGUGUCAAAUAUGUUGGUUGGUCUUACCAAGAAGAUCCCCUGAUUUUUGUUUCUGUCCCGCAGCUUUCAAAGCUAACACUCGAAAAAGAUGGUGUUAGCUCAACUAGUAAUCUCCAGUUAAGUCAGCUCCUUGCUAAUGUACCCUGGAUAAGCGACCUCCAUCUGGAUUUUAGAAGUGAAAAGAUUUGGGUUCUACCUGAAUGCCCCAGACUGCUUGUGCAUGUGCUUGGCAAGCUACAGAUUGUGAAUCUGGACAAUCUUCCGCAAGGAUGUGAUAUCGCUUGGACCAUGUUCAUUCUUGAAGCGGCAAGCUCCCUAAAGGAGCUAUGCGUCACGGUGUGGGAUCAUUUGUGCAAAAUGGAGACAGACGAGGAUGUCCGUAAGGAACUUGGUUACUGUGAGAAAGCAAAUGUGGAGUACCAACCAUCUAUAGUUCAUUUUAAGCACAAGAAUCUGAUUAAGCUCACCGUUUACGGCUUCCAACCUGAGGACAACUUUGUGCGAUACGUUAGGCGUGUCAUGGAGAUUGCAGUGAACCUGAAGGAGAUAUCUCUGUAUGACUGGCAGGUCUGUAAGCGCUGCAGGGACUUGGAUCCCAGUAUCAAGGUCUGUCCUUCUCGGUAUCCACGGACCAGUGAGCAGAAGGAUAUGUUGAGGGUGGAGAUUACUAAGGAGUUGGUCAUGGCUUCGCCUGCUGUGAUUCACUUCAGGUCCUAAUUAAUAAUUGAAAAAUAAGAUGCAUGGCGUCAUCAGUAAAAUCUAGAGUCCAUCUGUCCAUGUAAAUCAUUCAUGGCAUAUGUACUCUUAUUUAUCGUCUAUGUAGUUUCAAGGAGCUUCGGUGCUCUCUCCAUAAUUCAGUAGUCACUGCAUUUGUAUUCUUAUUUAUUUAUCCCUCAACCGAAGCUUGUACUGAUGCCUUAGGGCAAAAAUAGUUAUUAAUAAAUGUUUUGAAUAUCAUGAUAAUUAUCUAUGCC